RNAcentral lists this long non-coding RNA (8928 nucleotides) under Haliotis rufescens (red abalone). RNAcentral's name for it is "uncharacterized LOC124125316". Lineage: Eukaryota; Metazoa; Mollusca; Gastropoda; Lepetellida; Haliotidae. The record is from RNAcentral.
AUACUUGUUUUAUCACAAAACAUGUGAAUGAGUGAAUGUCGUCUCAUACUGCAGUCAGCAAUAUUGCAGCCAUAUGAAGGCAGCCUGUAAACCAGUAAUUGAUACACACACCAUCCUAGUACAUAAAACAUUCGCUCUCCAUGCCUAUUUAUGGUGUCCCCGUCGUGAUUUUGCUGGGAUAUUGCCAAAAGAUGCGUAAAUCCAUGCUCUCUCAAUUCAACAUGCCAUGCCUUGACAGACAAAACGAAAUACAAAAUAUAACAUUUAUACUUACAAUUUUGCAAUGCAGUGUGCUUCAUCAAUGAAAAUUGCCAUCAAAAUCUUCUCUUUAGUCAGGCUGUGUUCCAAGAACUGUCUCUGGACUUGCAAAUAUUAUUAUGUCAGUGUCAGGGUGAAAAAACCGUCACAGUAGCAUGGUUGGAGUUAUUAAGUUUCUUAAACACGAAUGGUGCUAAUUCAAAAGUAAGUGAUUUUCCUGAUCCUGUUGGAGAAAAAAAAGGACAUCCUUGUCUUUGAUGAUUCCUGAAGUGAUCAAUUAUGUAACUGCAUUACCUUCCAUACCAACAGUUAUACAUGUAGUUAAGUUAAAUAGAGGGCGUAUAUACUUAAAACACAACAUCAAUCCUUUGUUCCGUUCAGCAGUGUGUCAGAUUCGUGAUGGCUAGCUUGAGGUGGCUAGACUUGCUUUUUGUAUGCAUUACUAGAUUAUUUUUUUAAAUGAAAUAAAUAUAUUCCACGGUCAUUGGUGCAGGACUAAUUGUGUAUAUCACCUGAAUUUUGGUCAAUACCUGAAAUACUCAGUCGCCAAUACAGCCCCUAUUUCAUAUAAGGUUAUGAAAAUACAUGUCGGUUGGAGCCUGAAGCCUGAAGUAGAAUUUAGGUUAUUACACGGAUGAUAUACAUGUAAGGCCGAAAAUUGAUGAACUUCUUUAUUAUGAAGAACACAAUGUUUGGGACUAAUAUCAUUAGUUGAAGGAGUAAGUAUUACACCCAAACGUUCUGUUCCACACAAUGCGUUUCACUUCUGAAUGUUUUUCUAAGAGUUGAUACAUACACUUGCCUUGUAUAUAUGGUUGAUGCACGUCGAGUGUCUCAGAAACGCGGGAUCUGCAGGUAUUAGAGCUGAAUACAGUUGUGAUUUGACGAAUUCUUUUUCUUCUGACUCUUCCUCUUAUUUCGUUUUUCAGCUUAGCAUUGUGUAUACACAACGUAAUUAACGGAUUCUGACAUCAGCCACAUAUCUCGGACCACCCCACGAGUCUCUCUUAACCGUUCAAUUAACGUUCCGCUUGGUGUUGCCACACCUGUCCGCCAUCUGCUGUUGAGAUACUGUAACGGUUCUCGUCUGAAAAGAGGACUUCUCCCACUGCUGGUGCUGUGCUACCCACUGAAGACGGUCCAGGAAACAAAGAAGAAGACUGAAAGGAUACCACUGGGAGUGCUUCAGUGAGGACCUCAGUGACCGUUCUCCAUCACAGUAGGUGCUCAGCGGAGGGGACUACCUCACCCUUGAGAGGCAGAAACAAGCCAAUCAUGCACUUACGAGAUGGACCUACACCAAGUUCCAGAUUACAAGGACUUGUUCCAAAGAUGGAAGAGUUCCAUAACGAAGCUGAAUUUCUAAAGGUUAUAUGGAAACACUUGUACUCGUCCUCCUCUAACAAGUCUGUUUGGCACUCUGCAUGCUGCAAAGGAGCACAAUAAAUGCGGUGAAUGUUACUCAGGAUCCUCAUGACAACUUUUACCCAUGCUCUGAAUUCAUGGACAAGGUCACCACCGCCUACAUCGUAACUGGGGGACUACAUUACUUCCAAAUGGAACACCUCACUUCUGUCCCAACGUCAAGUUACAUGGGUGCUGUUGGCAAUCCAUAUAAAAUGAUUGAUUAUUUUCUAGGUCAUGCAGCAAAACAGUUUGUAGACAAGCACGUCUUACCGGAGGUUCCUCAACAGCCAGGUCAUGGUCUCCAAAUCAAACACACUAGCCUGCAGGUACUGUGGAAAACUGUACCAGAGACCAAAAGCUCUCCGCAAACACGAAGCAUCCGGAAUAUAAUGCUGAAAACAAUCAGGAUUCCACAUCUUCAGCAGAAUCAAGAUCAUCUAUUUAUCAGUACACCCGUCUGUCUCUCAUGCUUGGGCUUCUUCGAAUAAAUCACAACGAUUCCAUUCACAUGGGAGAUGGUGGCAGGCAUGAUGAGACUAGUAAAGUGGUUCUGUUUAUAAGGCAAGCAAAUGUCUCCUUUGAAACACAGGCAAAGGCAUAUGCUCUCCUAUAUGAACGGCAGGCUUUAUAGAUUGAUAUGGAACCGCACAGUCAACCAUCAAGGCAGAGAAGACACCAAUCAUCCCAUCGACCUUGACUUGGAGCAUUGCAACAGGGCUUUCAAAGAUGAAGUACACACAUACAAGGGGAGGUACACAGAUAAAAGACGAUUCUCAAAGUCAGCAGAAGUGCGCUGUCAAUGGAAGAAUUAUGCCAAAAAUACGACAAAUUGGCAUUCCGCAAGAAAUGUUCGGGAAGGCAUGGAGUUGUUGAUCCUUCUUGGUGAUAUUCUUAAACUUGUAGAACAAUUCCAUUCCUAUGCAGCUCUAUUCAAUGAGGCCAACAAGCCACUGCCACAGAGAAUUCAAGAACAUGCUGAGUGACAUCCAAAAUUGGAUUUCAGAAAGUCUUAAAGUCUUCAGUAGCCGCACAUACUAUAACAUCUGAACCUUUUUUCCCGAUGUGUAAUUCAGUGUCACAUGAUUAAAACGAGACCCUGUUGCAAAGUCGCUAUCACUGUAUGUUUCAUGAUCUUCAUGUUCUGAGUCUGAGUGAGAUGAUGAGCUAUCACUCGAGUCAAGGGAAGUUUUGUACAACUCAAGAAUAUCACAUCUACAUUCACUACAUGGGGUAUUGCAUGUCCAUGAGUCUCUGCAGUCACAGAGACACUUGCAAGAUAUGGCACAGUUGUCCAUAGCACUCAUGACUUCAGUAAGCUCAACUCGUCGACAUACGUUGGUUCUGACAUACUGUUUCAUUUCAUCCGAAAUAUUCCGCCUGCCACUGAGACAUUGUCUAAAUUUCAUGAGAAGAGCAUGUGCCUGCUUUUCUGGAUCCCUGCCUGCUCCGUCCUUGUCUCUUGAAUAUAAUCCUCAACAUUAUUGGCUGGACCAUAGUGGAUGACGGUUUCCACACUUUCUUAGCAUUGUGUAUACACAACGUAAUUAACGGAUUCUGACAUCAGCCACAUAUCUCGGACCACCCCACGAGUCUCUCUUAACCGUUCAAUUAACGUUCCGCUUGGUGUUGCCACACCUGUCCGCCAUCUGCUGUUGAGAUACUGUAACGGUUCUCGUCUGAAAAGAGGACUUCUCCCACUGCUGGUGCUGUGCUACCCACUGAAGACGGUCCAGGAAACAAAGAAGAAGACUGAAAGGAUACCACUGGGAGUGCUUCAGUGAGGACCUCAGUGACCGUUCUCCAUCACAGUAGGUGCUCAGCGGAGGGGACUACCUCACCCUUGAGAGGCAGAAACAAGCCAAUCAUGCACUUACGAGAUGGACCUACACCAAGUUCCAGAUUACAAGGACUUGUUCCAAAGAUGGAAGAGUUCCAUAACGAAGCUGAAUUUCUAAAGGUUAUAUGGAAACACUUGUACUCGUCCUCCUCUAACAAGUCUGUUUGGCACUCUGCAUGCUGCAAAGGAGCACAAUAAAUGCGGUGAAUGUUACUCAGGAUCCUCAUGACAACUUUUACCCAUGCUCUGAAUUCAUGGACAAGGUCACCACCGCCUACAUCGUAACUGGGGGACUACAUUACUUCCAAAUGGAACACCUCACUUCUGUCCCAACGUCAAGUUACAUGGGUGCUGUUGGCAAUCCAUAUAAAAUGAUUGAUUAUUUUCUAGGUCAUGCAGCAAAACAGUUUGUAGACAAGCACGUCUUACCGGAGGUUCCUCAACAGCCAGGUCAUGGUCUCCAAAUCAAACACACUAGCCUGCAGGUACUGUGGAAAACUGUACCAGAGACCAAAAGCUCUCCGCAAACACGAAGCAUCCGGAAUAUAAUGCUGAAAACAAUCAGGAUUCCACAUCUUCAGCAGAAUCAAGAUCAUCUAUUUAUCAGUACACCCGUCUGUCUCUCAUGCUUGGGCUUCUUCGAAUAAAUCACAACGAUUCCAUUCACAUGGGAGAUGGUGGCAGGCAUGAUGAGACUAGUAAAGUGGUUCUGUUUAUACUACAAGGCAAGCAAAUGUCCAAAGUAUGCAUAUGGUCUCCUUUGAAACACAGGCAAAGGCAUAUGCUCUCCUAUAUGAACGGCAGGCUUUAUAGAUUGAUAUGGAACCGCACAGUCAACCAUCAAGGCAGAGAAGACACCAAUCAUCCCAUCGACCUUGACUUGGAGCAUUGCAACAGGGCUUUCAAAGAUGAUGUACACACAUACAAGGGGAGGUACACAGAUAAAAGACGAUUCUCAAAGUCAGCAGAAGUGCGCUGUCAAUGGAAGAAUUAUGCCAAAAAUACGACAAAUUGGCAUUCCGCAAGAAAAGUUCGGGAAGGCAUGGAGUUGUUGAUCCUUCUUGGUGAUAUUCUUAAACUUGUAGAACAAUUCCAUUCCUAUGCAGCUCUAUUCAAUGAGGCCAACAAGCCACUGCCACAGAGAAAAUCAAAAACAUGCUGAGUGACAUCCAAAAUUGGAUUUCAGAAAGUCUUAAAGUCUUCAGUAGCCGCACAUACUAUAACAUCUGAACCUUUUUUCCCGAUGUGUAAUUCAGUGUCACAUGAUUAAAACGAGACCCUGUUGCAAAGUCGCUAUCACUGUAUGUUUCAUGAUCUUCAUGUUCUGAGUCUGAGUGAGAUGAUGAGCUAUCACUCGAGUCAAGGGAAGUUUUGUACAACUCAAGAAUAUCACAUCUACAUUCACUACAUGGGGUAAUUGCAUGUCCAUGAGUCUCUGCAGUCACAGAGACACUUGCAAGAUAUGGCACAGUUGUCCAUAGCACUCAUGAUUUCAGUAAAGCUCAACUCGUCGACAUACGUUGGUUCUGACAUACUGUUUCAUUUCAUCCGAAAUAUUCCGCCUGCCACUGAGACAUUGUCUAAAUUUCAUGAGAAGAGCAUGUGCCUGCUUUUCUGGAUCCCUGCCUGCUCCGUCCUUGUCUCUUGAAUAUAAUCCUCAACAUUAUUGGCUGGACCAUAGUGGAUGACGGUUUCCACACUUUGUAAGUCCCAAGCUGAAUGGUGUUGAGCAAUGGACUAUCAAGGGACUAUCAUCCUCUUGAAACCAUUUGGAUCCAUGAAGGACUCUGACACACUUCCCUGUUUUCCUUCUCAUUCAUACAUAUUCUGUAUGUUGUUAUGCAUGAUUGAUGUUGAACUUUAAUUGAAACUUUAGCUUGAAAAUUGGCCGAUUUCUUUUAUGAAAUUUAACUCCUAUUAUAAGAAUAAGAUCAACAUAUGCAAAAACAAUUGUUGUUAGAUGAUUAUUUUUUUGUAACUGAUCAACAAGAUCAACUUUAGUGUUUUAGUGUUUUAACUUAGCUAAUGUAAUGUAAUACAGUGGAUGUAUGCAUUCCUUUUUCAUAAGGGCAUGAACAUAUAUUACAUAAUGCCUCUACCUGGGACUGCGGCCAAACUUACAAAAUUAACCCUUGUUUGAGAGUAACAAGUAUCAAGUUCAUGAUGAUUGUAGAAGUGAUUGUAUGUAUUCAUAAAUGUGACACAUGCACAUUUUGAAAUGUUAAUAUUUGUGCUUUAACUUUGAUUUGAUGAAUAUCAAAUUAGAUAUUGUAUACACUUUAUAGCUACUUGUGAUCAGUGCACAUUUUUAUACCUUUAGAUUGUGCAGUUUCAUAGUGGUUAGUAAGAAUAUUUUGUGAAUUUAUACUUGUUUUAUCACAAAACAUGUGAAUGAGUGAAUGUCGUCUCAUACUGCAGUCAGCAAUAUUGCAGCCAUAUGAAGGCAGCCUGUAAACCAGCAAUUGAUACGCACACCAUCCUAGUACAUAAAACAUUCGCUCUCCAUGCCCAUUUAUGGUGUCCCCGUCGUGAUUUUGCUGGGAUAUUGCCAAAAGAUGCGUAAAUCCCUGCUCUCUCAAGUCAACAUGCCAUGCCUUGACAGACAAAACGAAAUACAAAAUAUAACAUUUAUACUUACAAUUUUGCAAUGCAGUGUGCUUCAUCAAUGAAAAUUGCCAUCAAAAUCUUCUCUUUAGUCAGGCUGUGUUCCAAGAACUGUCUCUGGACUUGCAAAUAUUAUUAUGUCAGUGUCAGGGUGAAAAAACCAUCACAGUAGCAUGGUUGGAGUUAUUAAGUUUCUUAAACACGAAUGGUGCUAAUUCAAAAGUAAGUGAUUUUCCUGAUCCUGUUGGAGAAAAAAAAGGACAUCCUUUCCUCUGAGGUAACUUACAAUCACUUGUCUUUGAUGAUUCCUGAGGUGAUCAAUUAUGUAACUGCAUUACCUUCCAUACCAACAGUUAUACAUGUAGUUAAGUUAAAUAGAGGGCGUAUAUACUUAAAACACAACAUCAAUCCUUUGUUCCGUUCAGCAGUGUGUCAGAUUCGUGAUGGCUAGCUUGAGGUGGCUAGACUUGCUUUUUGUAUGCAUUACUAGAUUAUUUUUUUAAAUGAAAUAAAUAUGUUCCACGGUCAUUGGUGCAGGACUAAUUGUGUAUAUCACCUGAAUUUUGGUCAAUACCUGAAAUACUCAGUCGCCAAUACAGCCCCUAUUUCAUAUAAGGUUAUGAAAAUACAUGUCGGUUGGAGCCUGAAGCCUGAAGUAGAAUUUAGGUUAUUACACGGAUGAUAUACAUGUAAGGCCGAAAAUUGAUGAACUUCUUUAUUAUGAAGAACACAAUGUUUGGGACUAAUAUCAUUAGUUGAAGGAGUAAGUAUUACACCCAAACGUUCUGUUCCACACAAUGCGUUUCACUUCUGAAUGUUUUUCUAAGAGUUGAUACAUACACUUGCCUUGUAUAUAUGGUUGAUGCACGUCGAGUGUCUCAGAAACGCGGGAUCUGCAGGUAUUAGAGCUGAAUACAGUUGUGAUUUGACGAAUUCUUUUUCUUCUGACUCUUCCUCUUAUUUCGUUUUUCAGCUUAGCAUUGUGUAUACACAACGUAAUUAACGGAUUCUGACAUCAGCCACAUAUCUCGGACCACCCCACGAGUCUCUCUUAACCGUUCAAUUAACGUUCCGCUUGGUGUUGCCACACCUGUCCGCCAUCUGCUGUUGAGAUACUGUAACGGUUCUCGUCUGAAAAGAGGACUUCUCCCACUGCUGGUGCUGUGCUACCCACUGAAGACGGUCCAGGAAACAAAGAAGAAGACUGAAAGGAUACCACUGGGAGUGCUUCAGUGAGGACCUCAGUGACCGUUCUCCAUCACAGUAGGUGCUCAGCGGAGGGGACUACCUCACCCUUGAGAGGCAGAAACAAGCCAAUCAUGCACUUACGAGAUGGACCUACACCAAGUUCCAGAUUACAAGGACUUGUUCCAAAGAUGGAAGAGUUCCAUAACGAAGCUGAAUUUCUAAAGGUUAUAUGGAAACACUUGUACUCGUCCUCCUCUAACAAGUCUGUUUGGCACUCUGCAUGCUGCAAAGGAGCACAAUAAAUGCGGUGAAUGUUACUCAGGAUCCUCAUGACAACUUUUACCCAUGCUCUGAAUUCAUGGACAAGGUCACCACCGCCUACAUCGUAACUGGGGGACUACAUUACUUCCAAAUGGAACACCUCACUUCUGUCCCAACGUCAAGUUACAUGGGUGCUGUUGGCAAUCCAUAUAAAAUGAUUGAUUAUUUUCUAGGUCAUGCAGCAAAACAGUUUGUAGACAAGCACGUCUUACCGGAGGUUCCUCAACAGCCAGGUCAUGGUCUCCAAAUCAAACACACUAGCCUGCAGGUACUGUGGAAAACUGUACCAGAGACCAAAAGCUCUCCGCAAACACGAAGCAUCCGGAAUAUAAUGCUGAAAACAAUCAGGAUUCCACAUCUUCAGCAGAAUCAAGAUCAUCUAUUUAUCAGUACACCCGUCUGUCGCUCAUGCUUGGGCUUCUUCGAAUAAAUCACAACGAUUCCAUUCACAUGGGAGAUGGUGGCAGGCAUGAUGAGACUAGUAAAGUGGUUCUGUUUAUAAGGCAAGCAAAUGUCUCCUUUGAAACACAGGCAAAGGCAUAUGCUCUCCUAUAUGAACGGCAGGCUUUAUAGAUUGAUAUGGAACCGCACAGUCAACCAUCAAGGCAGAGAAGACACCAAUCAUCCCAUCGACCUUGACUUGGAGCAUUGCAACAGGGCUUUCAAAGAUGAUGUACACACAUACAAGGGGAGGUACACAGAUAAAAGACGAUUCUCAAAGUCAGCAGAAGUGCGCUGUCAAUGGAAGAAUUAUGCCAAAAAUACGACAAAUUGGCAUUCCGCAAGAAAAGUUCGGGAAGGCAUGGAGUUGUUGAUCCUUCUUGGUGAUAUUCUUAAACUUGUAGAACAAUUCCAUUCCUAUGCAGCUCUAUUCAAUGAGGCCAACAAGCCACUGCCACAGAGAAUUCAAGAACAUGCUGAGUGACAUCCAAAAUUGGAUUUCAGAAAGUCUUAAAGUCUUCAGUAGCCGCACAUACUAUAACAUCUGAACCUUUUUUCCCGAUGUGUAAUUCAGUGUCACAUGAUUAAAACGAGACCCUGUUGCAAAGUCGCUAUCACUGUAUGUUUCAUGAUCUUCAUGUUCUGAGUCUGAGUGAGAUGAUGAGCUAUCACUCGAGUCAAGGGAAGUUUUGUACAACUCAAGAAUAUCACAUCUACAUUCAUUACAUGGGGUAUUGCAUGUCCAUGAGUCUCUGCAGUCACAGAGACACUUGCAAGAUAUGGCACAGUUGUCCAUAGCACUCAUGACUUCAGUAAGCUCAACUCGUCGACAUACGUUGGUUCUGACAUACUGUUUCAUUUCAUCCGGAAUA